GGAAUAUUGCGCAAUGGCCGAAAGGCUGACGCAGCGACGCCGCGUGGAGGAUGAAGUCCGUUAGGAUGUAAACUCCUUUUGCAGGGGAAGAAUGUCCCGCCUUCGGGCGGGAUUGACGGUACCCUGCGAAUAAGGAUCGGCUAACUACGAGCCAGCAGCCGCGGUAAUACGUAGGAUCCGAGCGGUGGACGGAAUUACUGGGUGUAAAGGGCGUGUAGGUGGAUCUCUAAGUCGGUGGUGAAAUCCUGCAGCUUAACUGUAGGAGUGCCGUCGAUACUGGAGGUCUUGAGUGCGGCAGAGGGAGAUGGAAUUCAUGGUGUAGCGGUGAAAUGUGUAGAUAUCAUGAAGAACACCGGUAGCGAAGGCGGUCUCCUGGUCCGUUACUGACACUGAGGCGCGAAAGCGUGGGGAGCAA
Molecule: ribosomal RNA, 415 nt
Filed under: uncultured bacterium
Lineage: Bacteria
Description: bacterial SSU rRNA
Rfam family: Bacterial small subunit ribosomal RNA
Source: RNAcentral